RNAcentral lists this ribosomal RNA (967 nucleotides) under Dendryphion nanum. RNAcentral's name for it is "eukaryotic LSU rRNA". It matches the Rfam family "Eukaryotic large subunit ribosomal RNA", at positions 115 to 1092 of the family's 3401-position model. The record is from RNAcentral. Lineage: Eukaryota; Fungi; Ascomycota; Dothideomycetes; Pleosporales; Torulaceae.
UUGAAAUCUGGCCUCUUUGGGGUCCGAGUUGUAAUUUGCAGAGGGUGCUUUUGGUGUUGGCCGUGGUCUAAGUUCCUUGGAACAGGACGUCACAGAGGGUGAGAAUCCCGUACGUGGCCGCCGGCCCUCGCCUUGUAAAGCCCCUUCGACGAGUCGAGUUGUUUGGGAAUGCAGCUCUAAAUGGGAGGUAAAUUUCUUCUAAAGCUAAAUACCCGCCAGAGACCGAUAGCGCACAAGUAGAGUGAUCGAAAGAUGAAAAGCACUUUGGAAAGAGAGUGAAAAAGCACGUGAAAUUGUUGAAAGGGAAGCGCUUGCGGCCCAGACGUGCCUGCGGUUGAUCAACUGGGCUCCCGCCCGGUGCACUCCUCCGCGGGCAGGCCAGCAUCAGUUUGGGCGGUCGGACAAAGGUCUCUGUCACGUACCAUCCCUCGGGAUGGCCUUUAUAGGGGAGACGCAACACGGCCAGCCUGGACUGAGGUUCCGCGCAUCUGCUAGGAUGCUGGCGUAAUGGCAGCAAGCGGCCCGUCUUGAAACACGGACCAAGGAGUCUAACAUCUAUGCGAGUGUUUGGGUGUCAAGCCCGAGCGCGUAAUGAAAGUGAACGGAGGUGGGAACCCCUCGGGGCGCACCAUCGACCGAUCCUGAUGUCUUCGGAUGGAUUUGAGUAAGAGCAUAGCUGUUGGGACCCGAAAGAUGGUGAACUAUGCCUGAAUAGGGUGAAGCCAGAGGAAACUCUGGUGGAGGCUCGCAGCGGUUCUGACGUGCAAAUCGAUCGUCAAAUUUGGGGCAUAGGGGCGAAAGACUAAUCGAACCAUCUAGUAGCUGGUUCCUGCCGAAAGUUUCCCUCAGGAUAGCAGUAACGUUUUUCAGUUUUAUGAGGUAAAAGCAGAAUGAUUUAGAGGCCUGGGGGUUGAAACAACCUUCACCUAUUCUCAAACUUUAAAUAUGUAAGAAGUCCUUGUUACUU